Molecule: long non-coding RNA, 557 nt
Filed under: Prunus dulcis (almond)
Lineage: Eukaryota; Viridiplantae; Streptophyta; Magnoliopsida; Rosales; Rosaceae
Description: sRNA ncRNA
Source: RNAcentral
AUGGCGUCAAUGGUGUCAAAAUCAAAACAAAAUGAACAAGCAUAUUUGUCUCUACGCCCUACUAGGACUGUUUGCAGGUGUUAUUUCAGCUCUUGCUUGCAUGGGUCUCAAAUGAAUUUGGAGGAGCAACUUAACAGUGCCCCUCUUACACAGAGUUAUGGUGAGUUCAAAAUCUAUCUCAUACCCUUUGUUGGCUGAAAUACGUACCUUGACUGUAUGAAGAAAACAUUUGUUAAUGUAAACCAACAGAAGAAACAGAAAUACAUUAAGAGUUGAUUAUGCAAGAAGCAUUUCACCUUUUGAUUUUAGAUAAAAACAUUAUGUGCUCUUAACAAACACUCUAAUCUGGCUGUGCAGUUCAAUUACAAGGCACCGUGGCUAGAAGGAUACAAGAUGGCUCGAUCACUCUGACAGUUAAAUUCCUCCAUUUCUUCAUUGCAAGGUUUCUACAGUUCCGACAUUUAUCCCUAGUGCGGCCACCACCUUAUUCUACAUCGAGGCUAUUCUGGGUAGCAGUUACUCGAUCAGUUUCUUCCACGUCCGACCUCUCGUUGUAA